This 253-nucleotide ribosomal RNA is filed under the name uncultured bacterium. RNAcentral's name for it is "partial 16S ribosomal RNA". It matches the Rfam family "Bacterial small subunit ribosomal RNA", at positions 524 to 776 of the family's 1533-position model. The record is from RNAcentral.
UACGGAGGGGGCUAGCGUUGUUCGGAAUUACUGGGCGUAAAGCGCACGUAGGCGGAUUAUUAAGUCGGGGGUGAAAUCCCGGGGCUCAACCCCGGAACUGCCUUCGAUACUGGUAGUCUAGAGUUCUGGAGAGGUGAGUGGAAUUCCGAGUGUAGAGGUGAAAUUCGUAGAUAUUCGGAGGAACACCAGUGGCGAAGGCGGCUCACUGGCCAGACACUGACGCUGAGGUGCGAAAGCGUGGGGAGCAAACAGG